CUGGUCUUUUCAAACAGCUCUUACACUAAAAGGGCAUUAUCAUCAUUGUCACAAUUUCACAGUAUUAUUCCAACCACAGCAUGGAAAUAGAUAUAAAACACAGGAAAAUCAAGUUUCUGACUGCACUCGGCCUUCAAAUGGUUUUGGUGCUUGAUUUGCUGUCAGUGUUCCAGACAGAAGGACUCAGUAUAUCCAGCGGCUGAUAUGGGCAGAACAAAGGAUUCAAAAACAACAACAACAAAGGCCAUUGGUGGUCAAGCCUUUUUCUAUGAAGAAGUCAUGUCCCGGUCGUGGAUGGCGUCUGAGAGGACUUCUAUCUGCAGCACAGAGAGGAGUGUCGCAAUGCACUUGGGAUAUGUGAGGUGAAAGGCGUAAUAACAUGCCAUGAGAUAUGUCACGCUGG
Molecule: long non-coding RNA, 403 nt
Filed under: Salmo salar (Atlantic salmon)
Lineage: Eukaryota; Metazoa; Chordata; Actinopteri; Salmoniformes; Salmonidae
Description: lncRNA (ENSSSAG00000091001.1, ENSSSAG00020073546.1)
Source: RNAcentral